This 427-nucleotide ribosomal RNA is filed under the name uncultured bacterium. Its description in RNAcentral is "bacterial SSU rRNA". It matches the Rfam family "Bacterial small subunit ribosomal RNA", at positions 355 to 774 of the family's 1533-position model. The record is from RNAcentral.
UGGGGAAUUUUGGACAAUGGGCGCAAGCCUGAUCCAGCAAUGCCGCGUGUGUGAAGAAGGCCUUCGGGUUGUAAAGCACUUUUGUCCGGAAAGAAAUCCGUCUGGCUAAUACCCGGACGGGAUGACGGUACCGGAAGAAUAAGCACCGGCUAACUACGUGCCAGCAGCCGCGGUAAUACGUAGGGUGCGAGCGUUAAUCGGAAUUACUGGGCGUAAAGGGUGCGUAGGCGGCGCUUUAAGUUUGGUGUGAAAUCUCCCGGCUUAACUGGGAGGGUGCACUGAAAACUGGGGCGCUCGAGUAUGGGAGAGGAUAGCGGAAUUCCUGGUGUUGCGGUGAAAUGCGUAGAGAUCAGGAGGAACACCUGCGGUGCAGACGGCUUUCUGGACCAUCACUGACGCUGAGGCACGAAAGCGUGGGUAGCAAACA